This 253-nucleotide ribosomal RNA is filed under the name uncultured bacterium. RNAcentral's name for it is "partial 16S ribosomal RNA". It matches the Rfam family "Bacterial small subunit ribosomal RNA", at positions 524 to 776 of the family's 1533-position model. The record is from RNAcentral.
UACGGGGGGGGCAAGCGUUGUUCGGAAUUACUGGGCGUAAAGGGCUCGUAGGUGGCCAACUAAGUCAGACGUGAAAUCCCUCGGCUUAACCGGGGAACUGCGUCUGAUACUGGAUGGCUUGAGUUUGGGAGAGGGACGCGGAAUUCCGGGUGUAGCGGUGAAAUGCGUAGAUAUCUGGAGGAACACCGGUGGCGAAGGCGGCGUCCUGGACCAACACUGACACUGAUGAGCGAAAGCCAGGGGAGCAAACGGG